GGCGAUAGCGAAGAGGUCACACCCGUUCCCAUGCCGAACACGGAAGUUAAGCUCUUCAGCGCCGAUGGUAGUCGGGGGUUUCCCCCUGUGAGAGUAGGACGCCGCCAAGC
This 110-nucleotide ribosomal RNA is filed under the name Bacillus mojavensis. The record is from RNAcentral. Lineage: Bacteria; Bacillati; Bacillota; Bacilli; Caryophanales; Bacillaceae. RNAcentral also lists the same sequence under 5 other names.